RNAcentral lists this ribosomal RNA (253 nucleotides) under uncultured bacterium. Its description in RNAcentral is "partial 16S ribosomal RNA". It matches the Rfam family "Bacterial small subunit ribosomal RNA", at positions 524 to 776 of the family's 1533-position model. The record is from RNAcentral.
UACAGGGGGUGCAAACGUUGCUCGGAAUCAUUGGGCGUAAAGCGCACGUAGGCGGUUCGUUAUGUCGGAUGUGAAAGCCCUUGGCUUAACCGAGGAAGUGCAUCCGAAACUGGCGAGCUAGAGUACUAAAGAGGAUCGCGGAAUUCCCGGUGUAGAGGUGAAAUUCGUAGAUAUCGGGAGGAACACCGGCGGCGAAGGCGGCGAUCUGGGUAGAUACUGACGCUGAGGUGCGAAAGCGUGGGGAGCAAACAGG